RNAcentral lists this long non-coding RNA (1297 nucleotides) under Equus caballus (horse). Its description in RNAcentral is "lncRNA (ENSECAG00000046339.1)". Lineage: Eukaryota; Metazoa; Chordata; Mammalia; Perissodactyla; Equidae. The record is from RNAcentral.
GGAGUCCAGGAAAGCAAUUUGAGCUGAGGAGUCACAUUUGGGGUUCCUCAGCAUAUAGAGGGUGAGUGAAGCUAAGAGGCUGAUGAAAUCCCCUAGUUAGGGGAUGUAGAUAGAAUUGAAAAGAUCUAAGGUCUGGGCUCACAGGCACUCCAGUGUUUAGAGGUGAGAGAUUGAGAGGUGAGGAAAAACACUCUUGAGGAGAUUUACUAUAAAAAGUGACAGAAAAAUGAGCUCCAGUGGUGGCUGAAAGGUGCGGUGGGGUCAACUGAAGUCUUCUCUUUGUUUAAUUGGGAAAAGUAACAUCAUUUGUGUGAACUGAUGGGACUGAUCUAAAAAGGAGGGAGGAGAGAGAAGGGUGAAGACAGAGGGAAACGCUGAAGUGAUGUCUUUAGUAGGCAAGAAAAGAGGAUUUAGAAGAUAAAGUAGAGAUUUGCCUUAGAUAGGAACUUAAUUAAUUCAUCAUAAUAAUAGUAGGAGCAUAUGGACAUAAUAAUAAUAAUAGCUGAGCAUCUGGGCAUCAUUAGAGAUAAGUGAGUAAAUGUGGUGUGGGGGCCUGUGGAAGUGCUCUUUGGUGAGGUCAUUUUUCAGACAAGGUUUUCCUGAGGUGGCAAGUAUCUAAUUAAGGAAGUGCUCCCAGGAGAAAGCUUUUGGGAAUUGGGAACUGAAGACCGACCGAGAAGAAGCAAAUGCUGGCAACGGUCCCAAGAGUAGCUUCAGGAUGAUCCCAGAGGGAAAUCCUGGAGGGUUUGACUAUGAAUAGCUCAGUCUUACUGGAGGAUCUCAAUCUUGCUGGAGGGUCUCAAUUCUACUGGAAAGCUUCAGAGAAAACAGGUGAAAUUCAGAUUUGUCCUUUCAGAGGAUAGGGGAGAAGAAACUUAUGUUGACCAGUCACAGAUCCCAUUGCCUGAGGGAAAUUUAAACUUGGUGGGACUGGCAUCUAGCUUUACAUGUGCCACAGGUGAUGUUGGUGUGAUCUGAGAACUGCAGGAGGACAUGAGUGAAAGUCAUCCAAAUUAUAACAGAAUUUCAAGAUGUGGCCUGACUUGAAACUAAGUGGCAAGGAUGCACCAGCAGAGAAUAUGCAGAAUAUAAAGAAGAGAAUAAAGUUUCUAAUUCUCCUUGGGAAUCAAAUGUGAUAAGUGUGUAUGAGAAAGUGAAUUAUGAGGAGUGUGUGUGUGUGUGUGCGUGUGUAUGUGCUUGCUGGCAUGGUUCUUUUAUCAAGCUUCUCUAUUAUAAAGCUUAUGUUUUCUGAUUUUUAAUCAUCCUUUGAAUUUAUGCCAUGCAAAAAUCAAUAACA